AAGCCAGACUCCUACGGGAGGCAGCAGUGGGGAAUAUUGCACAAUGGGGGAAACCCUGAUGCAGCGACGCCGCGUGAGCGAUGAAGUAUUUCGGUAUGUAAAGCUCUAUCAGCAGGGAAGAAAAUGACGGUACCUGACUAAGAAGCCCCGGCUAACUACGUGCCAGCAGCCGCGGUAAUACGUAGGGGGCAAGCGUUAUCCGGAUUUACUGGGUGUAAAGGGAGCGUAGACGGCCGUUCAAGCCAGAUGUGAAAGCCCGGGGCUCAACCCCGGGACUGCAUUUGGAACUGUGCGGCUAGAGUGUCGGAGAGGCAGGCGGAAUUCCUAGUGUAGCGGUGAAAUGCGUAGAUAUUAGGAGGAACACCAGUGGCGAAGGCGGCCUGCUGGACGAUGACUGACGUUGAGGCUCGAAAGCGUGGGGAGCAAACGGGAUUAGAUACCCGUGUACC
This 449-nucleotide ribosomal RNA is filed under the name uncultured bacterium. Its description in RNAcentral is "bacterial SSU rRNA". It matches the Rfam family "Bacterial small subunit ribosomal RNA", at positions 328 to 795 of the family's 1533-position model. The record is from RNAcentral.